RNAcentral lists this transfer RNA (74 nucleotides) under Zostera marina. It matches the Rfam family "tRNA". Rfam says of the family: Transfer RNA (tRNA) molecules are approximately 80 nucleotides in length. Their secondary structure includes four short double-helical elements and three loops (D, anti-codon, and T loops). The record is from Rfam by way of RNAcentral. Lineage: Eukaryota; Viridiplantae; Streptophyta; Magnoliopsida; Alismatales; Zosteraceae.
GGUGCUGUGGUGUAGUCGGUUAUCACGUCAGUCUUACACACUGAAGGUCCCCGGUUCGAGCCCGGGCAGCACCA